CCACCACCCUAGGCGGGCGCGCGGGCUCGGCGGCGGGGGGCGCGCGCUUCCCCUCUCCCCCCGCCCACACCGCGCGCACGACCCCACGCGCGACCGCGGGCAGUGCCCGGAGCUGGCUCCCCACCGCAUCCUGCGCGGGCGCUCGCUCACCUCCGUCCCACCCCCCGGGUGUCUCUAUUCGUUUUUAUGCAAGUUGGCCUGCAGUCCCAGCCUUAGCGCAUCCCCAUCCGCUUUCACGUUGCGUGCAGUCCCCAGAAUCGCCUCGAGGGGGCGCGCUGUACCUUAACCAGCAGCCAGAAGCGGAACCCAGCAUGUUUAAAGUCAGCCUGGGUACAAGAAGCACUGUCUCAGUGUGAGGGCUGGAGGUGUGUGCUCACACUGAAGUACGGAGGAGCCACAGAACCAUGCAGAGCCACAGGAGUCCUCGGACCUGUACACAGCACAUAGCAACCACAUCAUUGGUGUCAAGGACCUCCUGUCCAACCAGAUGAACACGGCCGAAGCUGACAAGAUUCACAGGCAGGUUAAGUGAACAGUUUAAACUCAUUCCAGCUGUGGGGUGGAGGAGGGAGGUAGGGAGGAAGGGGCAGAGGGGCGGGGUGGGGGGGAGCAGGCAUGAGGGGUCACUAUUU
Long non-coding RNA from Mastomys coucha (southern multimammate mouse), 632 nucleotides. RefSeq lists it as uncharacterized. Lineage: Eukaryota; Metazoa; Chordata; Mammalia; Rodentia; Muridae. The record is from RefSeq and is a predicted model, not a curated record. The transcript is spliced from 3 exons.